GAUUUUCCAACAAGUUAUCAGAAUUUUCAAUUGUGUUUAUAAUUUGAAGCGACUCUGCUUUUCAGUUUAUACUGUUUGGCUCUUUUGUGCUUCUUUGGGCUGUUUCUAUAUUUUUGGACAACUUGCUUACCCUUUCGCUAAUUUUCUUUUCUUAAAUAUGUCUGUUGCAGUUGUUACAGUGGAGAUUCACAAUGGAAAAUUUACAAGAUUUCCCUGAAGAGAGCUGUACAAAGCACUCUUAUCUCGCUGCUGUUAUAAAGGUUUGGUUAUUUGGAAUUGUAAAUUAGUUCUUCAAGAGCUUUGAAACUGACUUGUGCUGGGCAUAGAAUGAAAGUUCUCAGCCUAACAUGACCUAUUAGCACGAUCCAUUUGGGCCAAGUCAUGACCAGGUCUAAACUCUAAAUCCUGGUUGGCCAGCCAAGAAAUUUGAAUUUUCUUUUAUCUGCUAUUAAAAAAGUUGAAUAAACUCAUUUAUAGGGAGGAUCAAUGAUCAGGUCAUUUUGGAUAAAAUGAUUUAAUUAAUUGACUAAUUCUUUGGAUUCAUAUUACAUUCCCAUCUUCAUAUGAUUAUAAUUGAAGUAUAGAGUAGACUGAUACCGUACAAAUACUUUGAUACUUUAAAAUGGGAAAAA
This 632-nucleotide long non-coding RNA is filed under the name Citrus sinensis (sweet orange). RNAcentral describes it as "long non-coding RNA (CSIN_LNC005761)". The record is from RNAcentral. Lineage: Eukaryota; Viridiplantae; Streptophyta; Magnoliopsida; Sapindales; Rutaceae.